AAAAAUUUGAGGGCUUGGUUGGCUUUUGGAGUAGUAGCUAACCUCACUUGGGCCCGCGUAUCACGUAAGCACCUCUGCGCCACUCAACCCCAUUUUUCAUCAAUGUCUUACUUAUUCAAUAUCAAAACAACUCGAUUUCAGUUUUUUGUCACAUGUGUUAAGAGCAGUAACCUGAUGGCCAUACGACCCUCGCCGAAAACAGUUUCAGUCAACUGAUGAUACUGGACUUCGACGGUACAUUCGUCAAGGUGUAAUUUAGGUGUUUUAAGUGUAGUUCAGAAAUAACGAAAACCUGUGCUAGAGUGAAAGGUUAGAAGUUUGCUUUAUUUUGAUUUUCAAAGCGAGCACACACAGUGAAAGCAUAGCCUACCGAUUCUUUUCAUCUAGAUGGUUUCUGGCAAGAGGUGUUAGAAAAGCUACUACAUAGAUAACUUGCUUGUAGCUUAUUGAGUUUCCAUAGUAACGUUGCUUUGUGGUUCUUUGAUGUCGGAUC
RNAcentral lists this non-coding RNA (493 nucleotides) under Dictyocaulus viviparus (bovine lungworm). RNAcentral describes it as "Eukaryotic large subunit ribosomal RNA". It matches the Rfam family "Eukaryotic large subunit ribosomal RNA", at positions 2461 to 2890 of the family's 3401-position model. Lineage: Eukaryota; Metazoa; Nematoda; Chromadorea; Rhabditida; Metastrongylidae. The record is from Rfam by way of RNAcentral.